This 837-nucleotide ribosomal RNA is filed under the name uncultured Actinomycetes bacterium. Its description in RNAcentral is "bacterial SSU rRNA". It matches the Rfam family "Bacterial small subunit ribosomal RNA", at positions 42 to 895 of the family's 1533-position model. Lineage: Bacteria; Bacillati; Actinomycetota; Actinomycetes. The record is from RNAcentral.
CUGCGCUGCUUACCUGCAAGUCGUGCGGAAAGGCCCUUCGGGGUACUCGAGCGGCGAACGGGUGAGUAACACGUGAGUAACCUGCCUCUAGCUUUGGGAUAACCCUCGGAAACGGGGGCUAAUACCGGGUAUGACUUCCCGCCGCAUGGUGGGGGGUGGAAAGGGUUUCCGGCUAGGGAUGGACUCGCGGCCUAUCAGCUUGUUGGUGGGGUGAUGGCCUACCAAGGCGACGACGGGUAGCCGGCCUGAGAGGGCGACCGGCCACACUGGGACUGAGACACGGCCCAGACUCCUACGGGAGGCAGCAGUGGGGAAUAUUGCACAAUGGGCGAAAGCCUGAUGCAGCGACGCCGCGUGAGGGAAGACGGCCUUCGGGUUGUAAACCUCUUUCGACCCUGACGAAGCGCAAGUGACGGUAGGGGGAGAAGAAGCGCCGGCCAACUACGUGCCAGCAGCCGCGGUAAGACGUAGGGCGCGAGCGUUGUCCGGAUUUAUUGGGCGUAAAGAGCUCGUAGGCGGCUCGUUGCGUCGGCUGUGAAAACCCAUGGCUUAACCGUGGGCUUGCAGCCGAUACGGGCGGGCUUGAGUUCGGUAGGGGAGACUGGAAUUCCUGGUGUAGCGGUGAAAUGCGCAGAUAUCAGGAGGAACACCGGUGGCGAAGGCGGGUCUCUGGGCCGAUACUGACGCUGAGGAGCGAAAGCGUGGGGAGCGAACAGGAUUAGAUACCCUGGUAGUCCACGCUGUAAACGUUGGGCGCUAGGUGUGGGGGGCCUCUCCGGUUCUCUGUGCCGCAGCUAACGCAUUAAGCGCCCGCCUGGGGAGUACGGCCGCAAGGCU